UUUUUGUUUAAUAUAUAAUAAUUUAUUUUAUUAUUUAAUUUUAUUUAAUUAAAAAAGAUAUAUGAAUUUUUUUUAUAGUUUAAAAAAUUCUUAAUGAAUAUAAAUUAAUUCUCAGUAUUGAGUAUUAAAUAUUAAAGAAAUUUAGAUUUAAUUAUUAAUUUUAAUAUAAACUAAAUAUGUGCCAGCAGUUGCGGUUAAACAUAGUAUAUAAAUAAAAUAGUUUGGUGUAUAGUAUUAAUUAAUUUUAAUAAAUUAAUUUUUUAUUUAAGGUAAAAUUUAAGUUAAAAGUUAAAUUUAUAAUUAUUUUAUUCUAUUAAAUUUUAGUUUAAACUAGGAUUAGAUACCCUAUUAUAAAAAUGUAAAUUUUAUUACUAAAAAAUUAUUAGUUAUGUUCUUUAAAUUUAAAAAAUUUGGCGGUAUUUUAGUCUUAUUAGAGGAACCUGUUGUAUAAUUGAUAAUCCACGAUUAAUUUUACUUAUUUUUAUUAAUUUAUAUAUCGCUGUCAUGAAUAUAUUAAAAAAUUAAUUUUCUUUAAGUUAUUUUUAUAAUUUAUGUUAAGUCAAGAUGUAGUUUAUAAAUAAGUUUUUAAUGGGUUACAUUAAAUUUAAUUUAUGGAUUUUAAAUGAAAAUAAUAAUGAAAUUGGAUUUAAUAGUAAAUUUAAUUAUUUUAUUAAUAUGAAUAAAGAUCUAAAAUAUGUACAUAUUGCCCGUCAUUCUUAUUAAAAGUAAGACAAGUCGUAACAAAGUAAAUGUACUGGAAAGUGUAUUUAGAAAGUU
Molecule: non-coding RNA, 777 nt
Filed under: Nippolachnus piri
Lineage: Eukaryota; Metazoa; Arthropoda; Insecta; Hemiptera; Aphididae
Source: RNAcentral